UAAGUUUGAACUCAAGUUAACCAUCAGGCU
This 30-nucleotide non-coding RNA is filed under the name Rattus norvegicus (Norway rat). Lineage: Eukaryota; Metazoa; Chordata; Mammalia; Rodentia; Muridae. The record is from RNAcentral.